GGAGUGUAUAUGUGUGUGUGAGUAUAAAUGUAUGUAGGGGGAGCUGACAUGGAGAACUGUAUGUAGGCAGGAAGCCUCCACGCUCACGCAUGCUUACUAUGCGGCCCCGGGGGUGGAGAGAGUCUAUGUAGUUAAAUCCACUGCCAGUGGAUAAGCCACUCACAGUGACAUGCAGAUAAGCACAGCAAGCAGCAAGGGCUCGGCCUGAGAAAUACAUACACACUUACAGACACACAUACAUAUACACACAGAGGAUAGCAGUACUUCAACAGGAUUUUGCAGGUUGUCACUAGCAGUUACACAAAAGAGCAGAGAGGUGAAAGAAGAAGAGAAGAGAAGCAGAGACAAAGCAGUCUGCAUAUGGAAAAGCUCAGCCAUGUGCACAGGUAAGAACAACUCCAGAAACUCUUUCAAUGACUUUGUGUAUAGGAAAAUAAUAAGGGACUAGUCAUGUUUAUAUAUUGGGCUUACUGCUGAUACAAUCUAGAGUCCUCCAUUUAUGGUUUAACACACUUUAUCAUAGCAAAGUCCUCUCUUUAAUUUGAGAUUAUUUUGUGUAUGAUUACAUUUUAGGCAAAUCUGGGUAAUUUUCUGUGAAUCAGAAUGAGUAAAAGUCAGUAGCGGGAUGGCACUGUUUGUGAGUGUGUGGAGUGUUUUGAGUUCACUGAAUAGUAUGAGUGAUGAUGAGUUUGUGUGUUGUAGAGGCUGAGGUGUUGCAGUGUGUGUGUGUGUGUGUGUGUGUGUGUGUGUGUGUGUGUGUGUGUGUGUGUGUGUGUGAGAGAGAGAGAGAGAGAGAGAGAGAGAGAGAGAGAGCUCUAAUUGUUGUCAGUGAGAGUGCACGCCUGCAGCGGUGGAAGGAGGGACAUAAACCUGGCACUGUCUUUGUUCUCUACAGUUGCAUGGCAGUUACAGAGCAGGUAUAUAAACACACACACACACACACACACACACACACACACACACACACACACCUUUCUGCUCUUGCCCUAAUCCACUCAAACUCAACAGCAGCUGCUCCAACCCACAGGAUACAUUCACUGGGGAUGGUUGUUUGUUUUAUUGUCUGUUCCCAACCAGAGGAAACCAGAUCAGAGAAAAGCUCCACUAGCCUGCAAAACUUAUUGUGCCUCCACACGAGUGAGUGGGUGGAUGUGAGUUUUAGUGCAAAUGUGUCUAAACGUGCAUUCGCAUGUGUUUGCCCAGAAGAGUGAGUGUGCAUGUAUGAGUGUGUGGGAGUUUGGAUAUAGGUAUUUGUGUAGGUGGGGUGUAGCUGUACAUGUGUGGGUGACUGAGUGCAUGUGUGAGUGUAAGGGUGCAUGUGCUUGCCUCUGUGAGUGUGUAUGUGUGUAUUAAACAUGCCUACUAGAACUGGCAAUAAUAUAAAAGCUGGGAUGUUUGUCAAACCUUGAGCAUUCCUGUACACCCUGACCCCAUACUGAAUGCUGAGAAUUUCAGCUGAAACAGAAAGAUAAUAGCCAGGAGGACAUUUAAGAGGGUUUAGCUCAGAUCCCUGGGAAUCAAUCCCCCGGGUGCAGUGGGAAAAUCAAGAGCUCAGGCCUGUAUUUCAGGUUUCAGUUAGAGACAGUUGCAGCCUGCUGCCGAGGGGCUUUCCCAAAAUGGGGCACAAUCGGGAGGGGAUACAAAGAGACCCACCUGUGGUGCUCUGAGGACUGUGGUGUCUGCUCACAGUGGGAAAUGUCUUGCUGUUGUAGCCCUGCAAGGCUGCUGAUAUUUUUCAUUUCUAUUUGGCUGAUUAAUUCAGUGAUGGAUUUGAAUGGUGUGUGGUCUGUAAUGUAGUCUAGUUUUCUACAGCAUGAAUAUAAAGGACAAGGAAGGCUGUGUCAUUAUGUCUCUUCAUGGGGUUCUUGAGCAUGGACAAAUGUUAAAUAAGCAUGUUAUCACACACACACACACACACACACACACACACACACACACACACACACACACAUACACUAGAGCCUUUUAUAUGUUACUGAUAAUUAUAAAUCUUGCUUUAAACCAUUCAAUAUAUAAUUGCAAUAUCACAGGAAUCUAAUAUUACUAGCAAUAUCAUUAACAUGAUUUUGGAGGAGAGAUAGUAAUUAAAACCAACACAAGUUGCUCUGUAGCUAAUUAAAAUACCUGUGCAGAAAAAUUGUCCAUUUUCCCUUCAUAACAUAUUUGAGCACAGUGUUGCCCUGAACUAUUUUUCAUUUAUCUAAUUUGUUUACUUAAUAUACAGUGCCUGUUUUUUAGGGGCCAAGCACCAAAAGUGCGUAGGCACUUAUUGUAUCUGUUAGUUUUCCUCUUCUUCUUCUUCUUCUUCUUCUUCUUCUUCUUCUUCUUCUGCUGCUGCUUCUUCUUCUUCUUCUUCUUCUUCUUCUUCUUCUUCUUCUUCUUCUUCCACCCCAUUGCUAGUCUAUGGCAGCCCUAUGAACCAUAAGUAGGAAAAUUAUGAAAUUUGGCACACUCAUAGACAUGACCAUGAAUAGUAUCUGGACCAAUUAUGGGGUCUCUAAGACCAACUCUAUAGCACCACCACUAGUUCACUUUUCAAAUGGUUAUAAUUGUUGAAAACUUGGUCCUAGAGAAAAGCAAUUUAGUUCAUCAGAUUACUCUCCUCAUGCUGAUCACAAUACAUUUCUUACAUUAAGACCCCACCCAUUACAGUAGUCACCACUUUGAAAUGUAAAGUAUUCAGUUUUUUCAUUACUUCUCAUUCAAAUUUGGUCCAAUUCUUACUGAAAUUGGCUCAGAUGAUCAUUGGACAGAGCUGCACAGAAAUGACUGAACAGAACUUUGAUAUUCAUAUGUGUUCAAAAGUUAUGAUGUCGCAAAUUUAAUUAUGUUGACCCAAAAUUGGUUCACAGGCAGUGUCUUGGCCAGACUUUGAUCAAUUGUAACGAAACUUGGUAGUCUUCAUCAGCAGCAUAAUCUGAGGGUUCAUGCCAAAUUUGAGAACAGCGCCACCUAAAGGUCAUGAGAUUUUAAAAAGGAAAUUUUUUGCUUAUAACUUUUGAAUGCUUUGUCAGAAAAUUUUGAGCUUGGUGUGCACAGAUUCAGUGGGUCAUGCCGAAUCCGUGUAUAUGAAUUUUGCCAGGAUUGGGCAAAUCGCCUGUCCGCCAUUUUGAAAUUUCUUAUAUAUUGUAAUAUCUUUUCAAGUAUUUGACAUAUCGGCACAAUUUCGUAGGGAUCAUUCAUAGCAUGUCCUCUAGAUACCUGAGAAAGUUGAAUGCAGUGCCACCUAGUGUUCUAGAGAUAUAAGGUUUUUUUGUAAAAAAAAAAAAAAAAAACAUAACUUUUGAAAACAUUCUCCGAAAUUUGUUUUUUCUGCUUCGUUACGUAUGUGGUGCACUGUGAUAAAUGACAAGCAUCAAUACUAAAGAUCCUGGGUUCAAUUUCUGUGUGGUGCAAAUUCUUAAAAGUCUGUGUAAUGUUUUGUCUUUCAGUUCCUUUCUUUUGUGGCUCAGCAUUACACUAAACUUUCAAUCUCUUGCCAUGCUAAUAAAUGUCUCUGUUCUGUUCAUUUCCUGUUCAUCUUAUUCUCAGCUGUGUUUCUGAACCUAUCUUUUAUUCAUUAAUGUACACACUUUUUCCUCCUCUUUGUGUUCUUCAGGCUCCGCAUUGCACUUGCUGUGCCUUUGGUGCUUGGCCCCUUUAAACACUGCUUGCAGCUUUAAUUUAAUAUUACAUUUGCUUGUAUAGUCCAUCAAUUGGGUAAAUCCUUUCUCAAAUUGGUGAAUUCCAUUUUCCAUCCCAUUAACUAGGUAAUUAAAAUUAGGCCUGUACUGCAUUUAAUGGUUUGGUAUCAGCAUGGUGUCACAACAAUACACUGGAACCAAUAACAACAGUGUCAGACUAACUUACAAAAAAAACAUCCAGUAUGGGCUCCAUUUUGUUCGAAUUUUUGGUAAAAAUGUAUAAAAUACGUAACAAUUUGCACAACUCAAAUUCCUUUGGUCAUGAUUAACAUUAACAUUAGGGUUAUGGGUGGGGUUAGUAUGGAUUCUUGCUACUUCCUCUGUGUAAACCUAAUAAAAUCCAGUUGAAUUAAUAAUAAUAAUAAUAAUAAUAAUAAUAAUAAUAAUAAAUAAUAAUAUGUCUGAUAUCUCGUGUCUCAGGUUGUAAAAAGGUUUCUAUAAAAUUGAAUGGCUUUUAAGGUUAAGCUUCCUAAAUAACUAAAAAUAGUAAUAGGAUUUCUCCAUGUCUGGCACUGACAGUUCUUCCUACAUCAUCAAAUAGCAAUUUUGGACAAGUAUCAGUUAUGUGGACUUACUGAUACAUUGCAUCAGAUGUUAGAUUAAUUCCCCUCCAAGAAUAACAUGUUUGCCUUGCAUCAGAUUUAGUCAACUGAGCAAUUGAUGAGCUAAACUGUGUUAGUGUAGUGCAGAAAUCAGCAGAAAUGUUUGAAUUCCAGUUGUCGCAUGUGCUGUUAUAUAGGAAAGUUAUAUGCAGCUACAUAGGAAAGUCCCUUUGAUGUAAGCAGUGUAAAUCAGCCAGUUUAGAUAUGUAUGCAGUGUGUGGAAUGACUGGGAGUGCAGUUGAAAAUAAAAGUUGAAGCCAGAUUCAUGUGCUGGAGGAACGCUGCUGACACUUCAUAUGCAGGGAAGAGAGGUGUGUGGUAGAUUCAAGAAAUUGAAAAAUAGGGAAAACCUCUCUGCUUUCAAAAAUUUCAUGACAAAUAGUCAAUAACUUGUUAUUGCAGAUGCCAUUGAUCAAUGGAAACAUGGCAAAAAUAAAUAUAGUAAUAAAUUAACCUUGUUAAAAUCAAAUAUGGUGAAUUUGGAGAGAGGAGAUGGAAAUUAUAUUGUAUGAGAGACAAAGAAAGACAUCUCUUUAUGUAUUUUAUGGUUUUGAAGCCGGGAAGAUGUUAUUCACCCUGGUUUAUAUACACAGUUACUCUCAUUCACUGCCUAAUAUUGUAAAUGUAGAAAUGUUGGGUGGUGAGUUGGGUGAAAGUUCACCAGAAGCUCUCUGACCUAGUCUUUUGAUGUUUCGGUAUUUGAGGUCAAUGGUGAUCUAUGUAAUGAUGACUGAAUGUUUUUUCUUUAGUCAUUUGGGAGAGGUUUCUGGAAAAAAAAUUCAAACCACCCCUGAAUGAAAAGAUACUGACCUUGUCAACUGAGCCUAGACUGAAUGCAUUUAACCUGUCAAUUCCUCUGUGACAUUUGUUUCAUUAUUUUUUAAAUGAUAAAAUAAAGACUACUAAUUUUUAUAUUCAUGUUCACAUGAUGUCGUAAAACAGCGUUGCACUUUUACCUUUUUAGAUGUCUAUAAAAAAGACACAUAUAUCUAUUACAAUGCUCAGGCUAUAUUUGAACAAAUUAUAGAGGUUUAAAUUAAGCAAGAAAAUAAUGCACCUUUAAAAAUUUAUUUUCUGUUACAUGUUUGCAAAGCAUUUUUAGUGUUGAGAUAUUUAGUCAAUUUGACAAAGUAAUUUUGAAGAGAGAAAGAAAACUUAAUAAAUAAACAAAUAAAUAAAUAACUUCUAUAGAACCUAGUUAUUCAUUACAAUUUUUUCCAGUCUAACUAAACAAAUGAAAUGUGUCCUUUAGACCAUGGUUAAACAAAUUCCAGCCAAAGUUGUUAAAGCUGAAAUGCUGUGAUGUGCUCGUCUGCUUUGUUAACCCUAAAGAGAUGUCUUUGUGUACAUGGCUUCUCUGCGGAUGAGAUAGAGAAAGCAUGCAAAUCAAAUGUUGCUAUUGUGUGCUUUCUUACACAAGUGCAAUAGAGUUUAUUAGAUGUGCGACUGAAAAACGGUAAAUUAAGAUCUAUAAGUCUCAGAGAUGACAUGUCUUGCUAUUGGCUGUAUAAGUUUGAUGAAGCUUGAUUAUGCAAUUUUGUAAUAUCACUCUGUUAAUAAUAACAGUACAGUGUAAUACUCCAAGAUGUUUGUCAGUGAUUACAGACAUAGGGUAGUAUUUAUGGAUUGACUGUCAUGACUGAGGAAAUUACAUUAAAAAUGUAUAGUAAUAAUCAGUAAAUAAUUACAAUUCUGGUAGAAACUAUUAAAACAUACAAAUAUAGCAUCUGUAAAUUUCAUGUACAUGUUAAAAUAAUACAAGUUAUAGAUUUUACGUAUAUGUUUUUCAUAAUCUUACCUUAUAAUUUAGCCUUUUGAGAACAGCCCAUGUUUAUCACAUUGCUUUGUUUUGUAAAAACGAUUACCACUAUGGGGCUCAAAUAAUACAAAUACUCCUCUUUAUGUGUGUCAUAGUUUCCACAGCAACAUAUUAUUGUUUUAGUAUUUGCUGUUUGAUGCUUUAGAUUUUAGUUUUAGAUUAAUGUUUGCUAAUAAAUGAGCCUUGAUUUGCAUAACCAAAUAAUCAUUAAUCAUUAGGGAAUUACCCCCCCCACACACACACACAUUAAUGUAUGAAUGGAUUUAUAAUUGUAGAAUUUGAAUCUAGAAUAAUAACUGCACACAGUACUCUGUAGAGGAUAAAAUAUCAUUUUUACCAUAAUUUUUGCAAUUUAAUUAUAGGAAUAUCAUAAUCAUGAUUCUAUUGCUCUGUUCUUCUAGCAUUGUUUAUGUGAUUACAAUGCUAUUACAUUGUAACUACCAUAUGCAGACCAGACUCCAUACUGCAAUUAAAUUAUCUCUGAGAAUAACUUGAAUGCUGCUUGGAUUGUAAAGUAUUAUUUUAAACAGUAUGUUUAAUCGGUAUAUGUUAUUAACUUAGAUUGGGUAUUUUAUUUUAUUUAAUUUAUUUUUUUAAACAGUUUAGCUUUGUUAAUAUUGUUAAUUUUUAAGAUUUGGCAUAUGCCAGACCACUGUUCUUUAACACCCGCUUGUACGUGUUUCUACAAAAUGGUCCAUCGUGUCAAUCAAUAAAUCAGCAUCAGUUUGUGAAAAUGUACUUUGCCAUGUUUUAUUACAAUACAUGAUAGAUGUUUUGUAAGUGUUCAGCAGUCCGGAUUCUGAAGCUUCAAAUUUCCCCAGCUUGAUCCUCACGUCAUCAUUCUCUAAACAGCUCUGAAACGUUUUUCUGAAAAAGUGAAAGGGACAGUGGAAAGAACAUAUUCUUCAUAUGCCAGUCUGGCACAUGGGAAAUUUUAUGUAAAUCGUUGGGCACCUCCCACAGUUGUUGUAUUUCCCCUGUACAUCCUAUCUGCAUUCGGGACAUGACUGAGAGCACGCUGGAGAUAAGAGUACAUAAUAUGAGGUGAAUGAAACAAUGUGGUCGUUUAGGUGAACUCCCAUCAUAAUCGCUUCCUGCCGUAAUUUUCUCUGGUGAAACCCCGGGUAUCUACUGUAACUGAAAGGGAGGGGGACGGGAGGGGAGGCAUGUUGUUGCUUAGGGCUUUCCCUCAAAAUAACUGUCUGCUUACAGCUACAUCUUUUUUAUUAGCCUGCAAAAGCAGAAGACAGUAAUCUGCCGUAAUUCACAUUUUAGCUCAAUAAAUGCCUCACAUACUUUCAUAAAAGCAUAGAAGACUUUCAUUGUUAUUCAUGAAGUUUAAAGAUGGGUGUGUUAUAUAUUUAAGGGUUAGGUAUACGCCCUAGUUUAGAUAUGAAAACGCCUCUAGGUAAUUUAGAAAAGAAAAAAAGUAACAGUUUUUUAGAAUUAUUUUUUAAUUAUCGGUAAUAUAACCUAAUCCUUAUUAAUUUUGCUUUGACGAAAUGUAAUUAUUAUAUAAUGUAUUAUUAUUAUUAUUACUAUUACUGUAGCAUAUAUUAUUAUUAUUAUUGGCUGUCAUUGUGUUUGUGAUAUUUCAGGUCAGCAUGCUUGUGUAGUCAGAAUAUCGGGGAUUUCUCAGAAAUUAACGCAGCGUUUACAUCAUUGCGCACAAUCAAUUUUCUAGACUUUCUCGAAAAUGGUGUGUGUGUGCGCGCGCGCGCGCGCUCUGAGUCCCCGAGCCUGGAGAAGGGCCGGCCCCGGCUGAGGGGGAUUUCUGCAGCGCUUUAGCCUGUGUGGCUAGUAGUGAAGUAAGCGGGGGCCGUGUGUGAACAGGCAGAUACACACAGCAAGAGAGAGAAAGAGAGCGAGAGAGAGAGCGAGAGAGAGAGAGCGAGAGAGAGAGACGCAGAUAAAGAGAGAGCCAAAGAAGAAAAAGAGACUGAAAAGGAGAGAGAGAGAGAGAGAGAGAGAGAGAGAGCGCUCUGUUUCCCACAGUGAGCCUGUAAUUGCACGAGGUGGCCGCCGCAAAUGGAAGCGGCAAAUGAGUGACAAGAGGGUGAGUGAGUGACAGAGCCAUUAACAUUAAGUGUGUCUGCUGCUAAAUCGCUUUGUGUUUCCGCUGAACGCUCUCCUUUUCUUUCUCUCUGUAUUGUUUUCCACAUCUCUGCACGGUUUAAUCCGGGCUCGCGCGUGUUCUGAGAGUCUUUAUGCUGUGGUGAGCGGCGGCGGAAGCGCGCGGGGAGGCUAAACUGAAGGUGCUGUCAUGUCAUGGUGAAUGUGGAUCACCAGGCACUGAGGCUGAACAGGGAGAAGACUGAGACUCAGCACAUGCAAGCAACAUUCAGCCAUCAGGAAAUACUCCUUUCACCCAGACUGAUGAGCAAGGAUGCCAAGGCACUGAAGCUGACUCUGUUUUACAACGAGGGCUGUUUCUGUGCCAUACUGGUUUGCUCAUGAGCUGCUCAGUAGUCAGUGUAGAUCCUGUGUUGCAAUCAGCAGCUACAUCUGGCUACUGGGUCUCUGAUGGCAUUCUGUGCUUCCUGUUGGCACAUUCCAUUCAGAUUAUGCGGUAUGUGGACUCCAUCCUGUCAUUCACAAAAUAGCACCCUCUGUAUUAGAAGGGCUGAAGACUUUCCCUGCUCUUGUUAUUUAAUUUAGCUGUCCAUAAGGGUUUCAGAAUUUGACCUCUUCACACAUCUCCAUUAGUUUAUUGUGUUUUUGGCUUAUUGUUUCUCUAAAUAAUUUGACACGCACUCUGCAUGCAGUGGUGUUGUUGAAGCAACUAGAAAUUAUUUCAGACUUCUGUUUUGACAUGGUGGUAUUGUCCGAUGAAUGGAUCCAGCCAUUGUCUCUCGACUGACUGUUGAAGAUGCAGUUUGAGUGAUUUGAUGACAAAGGAGAAGGCAAGAUGUCACAUUCUUUGUGUGAUUAGGCUGUCAUAGUGGCUGGGUUUGUGUGAAUGCCUUCAGUUGCUGACGGCUGAGAAAUAAUGAAUGUGAAUCUUUUGCACAUGCAGAAGCCCAUCACUUUGCGAGGGCGAAUGAUGAAUUCUUUUGUGUUGUCCCGAACCUGGCAUACAAUGUAGAAUUCUGUGUGGUACAAUCUACAGCUACAUUGUCUGCUGGGUUUCAGGCUGGCCAUAAAUGCUCAUCAGUUCAUUAUAUGAAUAGGUAAGUAACCAACUGUUAUUAAAUGUUUAAAGUAAAUGUUGAGAACACAAUAAAAAAAAAGUAAUAAAACAUGCAGUGGAGUGUUUCUCAUUAUUUCUUGGAGGACCCUCUACAGGAAAGAGAAUUCUAUUUGAACACACAAUGUUUCAGUGAUGAAAUUUGUAGGGCAGCACACUCCUGACAGACUGUCACAAUUUUGCUAAGGACAAAAAUAGAAUCCUGCAUAUGACAACAGUGUGCUCUAUCCUUAUCACCAUUAUUAAACUGGAAGGUCCUUUUCCCAGAACACACACUGAGGCCCUGUCUCAGUCUCUCUCGUUCUCUCUCACACACAAACUGAAUGAAAUAAAAAUAAGUGACUUUAGAAAAAAAACAGCAUUAAUCUAAAAGGUGACACAAAACAAUAAUUUGCCCUUCAUUUCCACCUCACCAGGAGGCAGAGGUAUUGUCUAAAUAAUAUCAAGGCUUACAGUCAAACACAGACUAAUGAAGAAUCCCUGUAUCUGUAGAGAACUUCAUCUAUCAGAGACAGUCACAGUAUUGACGCAAUACUUACUACGAGCGCAGAUCUGCCCAUCUUUCAAUGCAAUUAUAUCUGGAUAUAACUUAUUUUACACACUAUACCUCUAUCUUUUGAUUGAAAUGUAAUUUGUUUGUUGUAUUACUAAGCAAUACUGUGCCUAUUAAGGCAACAAAUCAACACAAAUAAAAAAUGGACACCAUGCUGCUCAUGCUUCCCAUUAGAGCCUAAAUGAACACUGUUAAUUUAGCAAAAACAAUAUGGUUCCCAGUGGUACCUCCACAUUUGCAAGUCUGCACCGUAUGUCAUUCAUUCUUUUGUGCCUGGAUAUGGCCUAUGCCAAGCAGGCGCCCAGGACAGCAGGGCAUGCGCUAAUGAUCAGGCCCAGGUGUUUCCAAUGAUGCCGCUUCCCCUCACCGUACUGUUUGGACAGCAGGAAUGUAGAGGCAGUGCAGGUGGUCAAGGGGGCCGUAUGUUCUCCAUACAGGGCUCACGACUAGCCCAGCCAGUGAAAACUGGAACCACUUCAAUAAAAAAGAAAAAAGGAAAAAGGAAAAAAGAAGGGCACAGUCAGGUCUGAUCCAUGGCUGGGCUGUUUCCCCUCACUGUUGCCUCACCCAUGAGGCACACAUGAUUAUAAGGAUAUGGGAUUAUUAAUUCUAACUAAAUUCAAUAUGCUUCUAGAAACUGGUGUCGGUAACAGUAUUUUUCUAUUUAUAUUUAUCCAUAAAUAUUAUAACUGUCUAAUGGCUGUUAUUUUCACUAAAUAGGACCAUUGUAGUUGUAAUUUAAAACUGAUGCUGUAACUUACAAAAUACUUUUGACCACAAGUUUAGCUUCGCCGUCCACUGAAAACAAGGAUUUCCAAAGGGAGAGGCUGUACAGCGAAAGUAUUUCAGUAAUGUAAACUUCUGAAUGCCAUGUAAUGGGACUAAAUUGCUCCUUUGAUAACUUGUGAGGCAAGUGCUCUGAGAUGACAUCAGCGGGUGUCCUCCAGGGCACACUGGGACAUGGGUGGAAUGCUAAUUGACGCACUGCCAGGGUCUCCGUGAGGCGACGGCCGGGACUGAUAAUGAGGCUCAGAGCCAAGGCCUGGAUUUUAUCCUCAGCCCCUCCUUAGACCCAGCAUUACACAUUUUAGGCCAAAGGUGAAGGUGGAGAGUACUGGGCAGAUCUCCAGCUCAUUUACAUCACUGAUAUCAUGUGCACAGGAUACAGUUUGCCUGAGGCAAGUAGUGUUACUGCUCCUAUUAUGCACAGACAUAUACACAUCCAAUCAAUACCACCAACAUUUCCAAGAGGACAUCCACUGGAACCAUCAAUAUAAAACAUACACAGACAAAUACACACCUCACAAGCUAAUACCCAGAUAUUUCACAAAACAAAAAAAGUCAUGGAGAAAUAUUAAUCACAGGCAACCCUGACCUUUUCUGAGUGAUUGCGUGAAUGUGCAGUAAAACGUUAUGCAAAGUUUGGCAUAUGAAAAUUACAGGCUCAAAGUUUAUUGUUUAUAUGAAACCAAAAUGUGUGGCCAAGGAGAGAUGCAGUCAGAAAUGUUUACAUCAGGCAGUUCCAUUUAAAUUUUACAUGGAACACAAGAAUACUAGGAAUAAAAUGAAUAAGGAAUAACAUAAGAGGAAUAAAAUUCCCUCCCUAAUGAGCACUUGCUUGUGUGUUGUAUUUUCCUUCAGUACCUGAGUGACUCAAAGUCAAGCACAGAACUGAUAUAAACCCCAGUGCCAGGGGCAGAUUACAAACUGACAAAUAAAGUUUCUAUAUCUCAAUUGCCCAGAGUCAAGUCCAUCUGCUCCACUGGGUGCCAUGGAGAUUGGGCUGCACCAGUAUGGCGAAGAGAGAAUCAGUCUGGCUGGAGAGACAUUUGGUGUGAAAAAUACCUCCCUCCAACUGUUCCACAAGAUGAGCCAAUCACAGUUAUAGGCAGAAUUUACCCAUUUCUGUUUAAAAUGUUUUGUCUAUAAUUAAGGCAGCAGUCCCACUGAAGAUUCUGAAUUUCAUAUAAGGCUGAUUUACAGCUAAGCAUUUAAAAAAAAAAAGGUUGUAAACAGGUUAGAUACUUCAGUUCACACACUCUUACAUAAGCUUCACCAAACCUUCAAUAGGUGAGUGCACGUCUCAGGAAAGUAUCAAUUAUACAUGAAAAACACAGUCUUAAUGAUAUAAGAUCAAGCGGAAAUCAUCUAUAAAGCUGUACUAGCACAGACAAACCGACAUGAUCAUGCCUGUUAUAUCCAGUUACC
Molecule: long non-coding RNA, 12052 nt
Organism: Ictalurus punctatus (channel catfish)
Lineage: Eukaryota; Metazoa; Chordata; Actinopteri; Siluriformes; Ictaluridae
Source: Ensembl